AAUUUGUUGAUUCAUAUACCCAGCAUUUAAAUUAAAAAAAAUAUAUAUAUCCAAUCAUAUUUUAGGUAUGUUUAACACAAUUCUGUUAGUUUUCGCGGCUCAUUUGGCAACUCGCUUUAUUACAUCGUUUUUCUUUAUCAAUUUAUUUUUGGUGUUCCGCGAGGCGACUAAAAAGUGCAAGUGUUCCGUGUCGAAGUUGGGAAAAAGUUUGGGAAACGCUGGCUUAGGAUAGGGAGGAGGUCGCCAGCAAUCCUCUGGUACUAAAUUAUCCCUUACGGUAUUUGAACCUGCGAAUCUAAGCGGGGUAAGAAAUCAAGCGUAUUACUAAGGCUUAGAACGAUGCGCCACUCAACGCGAACGUACUCAGCUGCAGUGCAUUGGCUGACAUAGAUACUAAAUACAUUAAAAUACGUGUAUACCCUUACCCUGGAUCAGGGGUGGGCAACUUCUCUAGUCGGCGGGCCAGAUGUGAGAAAAUGAAGUCCUCGGUAGGACGGCUUAUUACAAAAGGUACUUCGGUAUCCAAUCUUUGUUAAAUGCUCGACACCCUCUGUCAACUUUACUUAUCUUGGGAUAUUCCAUGGUUCACAAAGUGCUUCAUACGGACAUAGGGUCUCCGCGAUCUAUUCGUUUACGCAAAAUGGCAUUAAUAACAUUUAAGAAGCAGCAAAUACAUCCGAGUUAUUAAAUAUAGUAAUUUCAAUUCACCUAUUAAUAUUGAUUGGUGAGUAACAAUUUGUUUUUGUUACGUUCUUACUGUUGGGCUACGUCAAUAGCACCUCUUCACGAGCUCCAUAACACCAAAUAUUUGAAUGGUCUCGAAUUGAUGAUCUAUAUAUUAUCAGUUGUUGUCGUCGGUAUGCUCUUGUAUUGAGCAGUCAAUUAUUUACUUCACAUAGAACCGUGAUUAAUACUGUUGCUGAUGUUAUGUCUCCGCCGUUUGGUUUGGCGAAGAAAUUACUAUACAGUAGUCAUCGAAACAACGUCACAUUAUACCACCCUUUAAACGACAUCGCCGGCACGUUAAUGUACGAAAACUUAAAAUUAUUCUUGGCUGCGCAAAUCAAUGAGCUAAGAUUUGUACGCCAGAGAAUGCAUUAAUAUAACACGCCGUUAUUCUUUCAUUGAGUUGUGGGAGAGUUACAUUUUUGAUGGCAUUCACGUGCGCGUUUACUCUACAAAUAUAAACAGACAAAUAUAAUGGAAUUGCUGGAUUCUUUGUACUAAGCUCCCGUCACUGAUGCAAAAAUGUGUGAUCUGAGAUAAACACCCCUGUCACGUUUUAGGAUAAAAAAUAAGUAAUUAUGCUGUUAGGAUUUUGGGUUGGGAACGAUUUGAAAAUUUGAAUUUCCGGCUGAAUCUGCAUCCCUCACCUUAACUGAAUAUUUACUAUUUCUAUUUAAUUCGAGCGUUGGCGGGGUGUUGUUUUGGGGUGGGGCUUGGUACAAAAGAUCCUGAGAAUACUACUGUGAACUAGGUUUAUACGAUAUUUGAAGCAAAUCCCAACCGUCAUUUGCAUUCUGCAUCUUUGAAAUCACGCUUCAGAAGCGUGAUCGGCUCGUAACGUCAACCUGGAGUAAUUAAAGUAAUCAGUUAAAACAUUUGAUUGCAAUCAAUCAGUUAGCUUUUUUCGUCAAAUAUUUUUGCGCGGGAAGCCACAAGCGACAUCGCUUUUAGUCAGUCACAAAUGUUCGUGGUAAGAUGAGGUUUGAUUUUGUGUAGGAUGUAUGGAUAGGUUGACUGUGGGUUAUGACAGUGAGUUCGAAACAAUAUUCAGGUGCAGAAAAUUAAAGGUUAAAGAUUCAAAGACACAAAGUAACGAACGGGAAAUAUUACAACGUUUUAAAACAGGACAAUUUAUCAUUGCACCAAAAGAAAUUCGCCAAGUUCGAGGUUUUCAUCACUGAGUGAGAUGGAGGCCUAUCACGUCUGAAGAGCAACUUUCUGAAACACUUCUUGAAAGCGGGAAAGACAAUUUAUCAUUAUAUCUAAAGACAUGCUGGGGGCAUUUGUCCGAUUAUGCAUCACUGAGAGAGGUGGCUGCCUCGAGUCUAAAGAGCAAGUAUGUUAUCAU
Molecule: non-coding RNA, 2074 nt
Organism: Styela clava
Lineage: Eukaryota; Metazoa; Chordata; Ascidiacea; Stolidobranchia; Styelidae
Source: RefSeq, a predicted model, not a curated record